RNAcentral lists this long non-coding RNA (236 nucleotides) under Mytilus galloprovincialis (Mediterranean mussel). Lineage: Eukaryota; Metazoa; Mollusca; Bivalvia; Mytilida; Mytilidae. The record is from RNAcentral.
AAACACUAAUACUGUGGAUUCAUUAUUAUUCGUUGGAUACCAAUUUUCGUGGAUUUCGUGGGCACAGUCAAACCACGAAAUUAAAUAUUCAACGAAUGAUAAUUUUUCUAUAGGUUUGUAUGCAGACUUCAGCAAAACCACGAAAUUAAAUAUCCACGAAUAUGCAAGUUUUUCUUAAUCCACGAAAAUUGGUAUCCACGAAAAUAAAUGAAUCCACAGUACUCAAGUUACAGUAA